This 497-nucleotide ribosomal RNA is filed under the name uncultured bacterium. RNAcentral describes it as "partial 16S ribosomal RNA". It matches the Rfam family "Bacterial small subunit ribosomal RNA", at positions 28 to 507 of the family's 1533-position model. The record is from RNAcentral.
GAUGAACGCUGGCGGCGUGCCUAAUACAUGCCAGUCGAGCGAACGGACGAGAAGCUUGCUUUUCUGAUGUUAGCGGCGGACGGGUGAGUAACACGUGGAUAACCUACCUAUAAGACUGGGAUAACUUCGGGAAACCGGAGCUAAUACCGGAUAAUAUUUUGAACCGCAUGGUUCAAAAGUGAGAGACGGUCUUGCUGUCACUUAUAGAUGGAUCCGCGCUGCAUUAGCUAGUUGGUAAGGUAACGGCUUACCAAGGCAACGAUGCAUAGCCGACCUGAGAGGGUGAUCGGCCACACUGGAACUGAGACACGGUCCAGACUCCUACGGGAGGCAGCAGUAGGGAAUCUUCCGCAAUGGGCGAAAGCCUGACGGAGCAACGCCGCGUGAGUGAUGAAGGUCUUCGGAUCGUAAAACUCUGUUAUUAGGGAAGAACAUAUGUGUAAGUAACUGUGCACAUCUUGACGGUACCUAAUCAGAAAGCCACGGCUAACUACGUG